RNAcentral lists this ribosomal RNA (447 nucleotides) under uncultured bacterium. RNAcentral describes it as "bacterial SSU rRNA". It matches the Rfam family "Bacterial small subunit ribosomal RNA", at positions 329 to 792 of the family's 1533-position model. The record is from RNAcentral.
UUCCAGACUCCUACGGGAGGCAGCAGUGGGGGAUAUUGCACAGUGGGGGAAACCCUGAUGCAGCGACGCCGCGUGUGGGAAGACGGUCUUCUGGAUUGUAAACCACUGUCCCCAGGGACGAAAAUGACGGUACCUGGGGAGGAAGCUCCGGCUAACUACGUGCCAGCAGCCGCGGUAAUACGUAGGGAGCAAGCGUUGUCCGGAUUUACUGGGUGUAAAGGGGGCGCAGACGGCGAUGCAAGCCAGGAGUGAAAGCCCGGGGCCCAACCCCAGGACUGCUCUUGGAACUGCGUGGCUGGAGUGCAGGAGGGGCAGGCGGAAUUCCUGGUGUAGCGGUGAAAUGCGUAGAUAUCAGGAGGAACACCGGUGGCGAAGGCGGCCUGCUGGACUGCAACUGACGUUGAGGCCCGAAAGCGUGGGGAGCAAACAGGAUUAGAUACCCUUGUA